GGGCCCGCACAAGCGGUGGAGUAUGUGGUUUAAUUCGAUGCAACGCGAAGAACCUUACCAGGGUUUGACAUCCUUGGAAUUCUCUAGAGAUAGAGAAGUGCCUUCGGGAACCAAGUGACAGGUGCUGCAUGGCUGUCGUCAGCUCGUGUCGUGAGAUGUUGGGUUAAGUCCCGUAACGAGCGCAACCCUCACCCUUAGUUGCCAUCAGCUUGGCUGGGAACUCUAAGGGGACUGCCGGUGAUAAACCGGAGGAAGGUGGGGAUGACGUCAAGUCAGCAUGCCCCUUACACCCUGGGCUACACACGUGCUACAUUGGGCGAGACAAUGAGAUGCAAAUCUGUGAAGACUAGCUAAUCUAUAAACUCGUUCUAAGUUCGGAUUGUAGGCUGCAACUCGCCUACAUGAAGGUGGAAUC
This 415-nucleotide ribosomal RNA is filed under the name uncultured bacterium. RNAcentral describes it as "bacterial SSU rRNA". It matches the Rfam family "Bacterial small subunit ribosomal RNA", at positions 917 to 1333 of the family's 1533-position model. The record is from RNAcentral.